RNAcentral lists this transfer RNA (73 nucleotides) under Myotis davidii. It matches the Rfam family "tRNA". Rfam says of the family: Transfer RNA (tRNA) molecules are approximately 80 nucleotides in length. Their secondary structure includes four short double-helical elements and three loops (D, anti-codon, and T loops). The record is from Rfam by way of RNAcentral. Lineage: Eukaryota; Metazoa; Chordata; Mammalia; Chiroptera; Vespertilionidae.
GCCAGUUUGGCUCAAUGGGUAGAGUGUCAGUCUGUGGACUGAAAAGUCAUGGGUUCGAUUCCGAUCAAGGGCG